RNAcentral lists this ribosomal RNA (472 nucleotides) under uncultured bacterium. RNAcentral's name for it is "bacterial SSU rRNA". It matches the Rfam family "Bacterial small subunit ribosomal RNA", at positions 355 to 825 of the family's 1533-position model. The record is from RNAcentral.
UGGGGAAUAUUGGACAAUGGGGGCAACCCUGAUCCAGCAAUGCCGCGUGUGUGAAGAAGGCCUGCGGGUUGUAAAGCACUUUCAGUAGAGAAGAAAAGCCUAAGGUUAAUAACCUUGAGUCUUGACGUAACCUACAGAAGAAGCACCGGCUAACUCCGUGCCAGCAGCCGCGGUAAUACGGAGGGUGCAAGCGUUAAUCGGAAUUACUGGGCGUAAAGCGUGCGCAGGCGGCUCCUUAAGUCAGAUGUGAAAUCCCCGGGCUUAACCUGGGAACUGCGUUUGAAACUGAGGGGCUAGAGUGUGGAAGAGGGGGGUGGAAUUCCAGGUGUAGCAGUGAAAUGCGUAGAGAUCUGGAGGAACACCGAUGGCGAAGGCAGCCCCCUGGGCUAACACUGACGCUCAUGCACGAAAGCGUGGGGAGCAAACAGGAUUAGAUACCCGGGUAGUCCCUGAGCGGGCUGGCAAGGCGCAU